RNAcentral lists this ribosomal RNA (253 nucleotides) under uncultured bacterium. RNAcentral describes it as "partial 16S ribosomal RNA". It matches the Rfam family "Bacterial small subunit ribosomal RNA", at positions 524 to 776 of the family's 1533-position model. The record is from RNAcentral.
UACAGAGGUGGCAAGCGUUGUUCGGAAUUACUGGGCGUAAAGGGCGCGUAGGCGGCCUUCUAAGUCAGACGUGAAAUCCCCCGGCUUAACCUGGGAACUGCGUCUGAUACUGGGAGGCUUGAGUAUGGGAGAGGGAUGUAGAAUUCCAGGUGUAGCGGUGAAAUGCGUAGAUAUCUGGAGGAAUACCGGCGGCGAAGGCGGCAUCCUGGACCAUUACUGACGCUGAGGCGCGAAAGCGUGGGGAGCGAACAGG